CAACCAAAGACAUAUUUACAGAACUCAAAUCGAGAUCUCUUAGCUUGGUUAGGUUUCGAACAAGCUUGUCAAAAGAAACUGGUUCUACACUUAGAUGGUUGUUUCCAGAGAGAUCAAGAGAAAUCAAUUUGGAGAGACGGGAGACUUCUAAUGGAACUUGGCCUGCGAAAUUGGAAGAAUUUAGAUUAAGAUGUGUGAGAUUGGAAAAAUGCCCAAAUCGAGAAGAAAUAUGGGAGGAGUUGAAAUCAUUGAAAGAGAGAUCGAGCUUCUGAAGAUGAUGAAGAGAGAAGAGAGAAUUAUAGGAAUGGAGGGUGCCAUAAAGCAUGCUGCAAGAGAGGUUCAGUCCAGUGACUUGCCCGGUUUUCAUAUCACAAGUGACCCCAUCCCACAAGCAGCAAUCUGUACCGUCUUUCCAUGACUCUGUUUUUGGAAAGGGAUAUUGACAAUAGUAGCGCUCCCAAUAAGCAGAACUAUGAAUGGGAAAGGAUUGUUUGAAUUGAAGCAGAGAAAGACUUUGGUGAUGAGCACACAAAUGAUUAGAAGAGGAGUAAUUUGAGGAGAAUGAUGAUGAAAUUGUUGUAUGAAAAUGGAAGAGAAACAAAAUGGAACAGAGAAAUUGAGUGAGGGAUAAUGAAAAUUUCAUGUUGGAUUUGCAGGAUUCAAAGUAUAUUUGGAAUUCUGAACGAUUGGGGAGAGAUGAGAAAUAAAGAAAGGCACUAUUAGUAGUAUUUAUAGACAAACCAAUCUUAGAUUCUUCUGUUCAUUCAGUUUCUGUAAUUAAAAAAAAAAACUUGAGUGCUAACAACUUGGUCUGUCCUUUUUCUUGACCCCAAAGUUAUUUUAUAUAUAAAAAAAACCUGUGUAAGAAAUGAAAUUUCUUGAGCACUAACAACUUAUUGCAGAGAUGUUUUUCUAUACUGUAUUUAGCAAUGAAAUUUCUGCGAAGCUUGCGUUGACCAUCAACAACGAAAACGAAAGUUCAGGAUAUAUUGUAUAUGAAAAAAUAUAAUGUUAUAAAUUAUUUUAAAUAAAAUAAAUAAUAAUCAAAAUAAUAAAAAUUAAAUCUAAAAAAAUAAAAGAUAAAGAAAUUAAAAUAAUAAUAAUUAACAUUUCAUAAAUUAUUUCAAAUAAAAUAAAUAACAAUUAAAAGAAUGAAGACCAAAUUUGAUAGAUAAAAAAUUUCAAUAAAAAAAAUAAUAAGAAAAAAACAAAUAAAAAUUAUAAAAAUAUGGACCAAAGUUAAUAUAAAAAUUAAAUUUUAAGAGAUGAAAUUGAAAAAUAAAUAAUCAAAACAAAAUAUAUAUAGUAAUCAAAAGUUUGAGGACCAAAUUUGAUAUAAUCAGCAAAUAAUAUGAUAUUUUUAAAUUUUUCACAACUUCCAGAAAGUGUUUUCCAUCCAAAUUUUUCAGGAAACCAAGUUAAAUUUUUCUUUGAUCGGAAAGUAUUUUUGAUUGACCAACUUUUUUAAUGAUAAAUAAAUAUAAAAUAAUUUUAAAAAUAAUUUUUAAAAAAUUACUUUUCAGAAAAUAACAUGGCAUAAACGAUCUUUUUUUUACAGCAUCAACAAGGGAAAACCAAUCGUCGUCACUUUGGUCUGUCCUUUUCGUCCUUGACCUCCAAGUCUUCGGAACCUGUAUAUGUUAUCCAGUAAGUGGUCCCUUUGUUGACUAUACAAGAGUUGUUGUCUAACUUGUCAAGCAUAGUUAAUACAAAGGAAGGUUGGUGUUGGUCAAUCUUGUUUGGUGUUACUGUGUGGUUCCUUUGGAAGUACAGGAAUUGUCGCAUUUUUAGGGAGACUCCAGAAGUGGCAGGGUAUCCUUUAAUGGCUAUUUGAGGUUUGACAAAAGAGAUAAUGGGCGCUGGACACCAUGAGGAGCUUAAUACUUUGAUUUCUAAGAAGAUGAAUGUUGUGGGAUGGAAAUACCCCCCUUCGAAUUGGAUGAAAUUAAAUGUAGAUGGAUGUAGUAAAUGCAACCCAGGUUUAGCAGCGGCGGGAGGAUUAAUUAGGGAUUGCAUGGGCUCUUGGAUUAGAGGUUUUUCUAUUAAUACUGGGAUUGGUACUUCAGUUCGUGCUGAGUUAUGGGCGGUGAUUACAGGGCUAGAGUUGGCUUGGUCUUUAGGCUUUCGCAAGAUUAUUUUGAAAUCUGAUUCUUUGGUUGUGGUGGAUCUGCUCUUGAAACAAUCCGUGAAAGAUGAUGCACACUAUGCCUUGGUUAACAGAGCUCGUGAAGCUCUAAGUAGAGAUUGGGUAGUCCAAGUGCAACAUUCAUACAGGGAGGCGAAUGCUGCUGCUGAUUGGCUUACUAACUAUGGGCUCUCUAGGAAUCCCCUUUUUAAGGAGGAUUCGACUAUCAAUGAACCUCCAGAGGGCUUGUAUUAGUUUUUAUACUAUGACUUGAUUGGAACGGUGUUCCCUUGUUUAAUUUAAUUUUGGGCUUUAGCCCCGAUUUAUAACAAAAAAAAAAGUGUGUUGGAAACACGACACAAUUAAUUUCCAGAAUUGACAUUUUAUAACUGUAGAUAAUACUAUAUAGGUGCACUACGCUGUAAGUUGUCCUACAUUUAUUUCAAUAUAAAAAAAAUGUUAAGUUGAUAAAACCAUUUCUAAAAAAAAAAAAAAAAUCAAGACUCAAGGAAUUACUUGAUGAGUUUAAUAAUUUAAAAAUAUAAAUAAAAAAAUAUUAUGAAAAUUAAUAAACUUACAAAAAAAAAAAAACAACCUUGAGUCCUAACAACUUGAUCUGUCCUUUUUCUUGACCCCAAAGUCAUUUUAUAUAUAAAAAAAAUUAUGUGAGAAAUGAAAUUUCUUAAGCACUAACAACUUAGUUCAGAGAUGUUUUUCUAUGUCGUAUUUAGUAAUGAAAUUUCUGCGAAGCUUGCUUUUACGAAACUGAAGGUUGAAUUAUUCAAUUGCAAAUAUUUCCAUACAAUUGUUUGGAAACACUUUCCUGCGAAAUUAAUUGCAUAUUGCUGACUAUACAAGAAUGUUGGAAACACGGCAAUAUUAAUUUUCAAAAUUGACAUUUUUUUCAAGAGUAGAUAAUAUCCUUACAUUUGCAGCAAGUCUAUGUGCUAAUCAAGGUUGUCAAUUCCGUUUCGGUAGGUGUUUCGUUUUUUCAAUUGGAACGAAAUGUUUCGGUUUCGGAGUGUUUCGGCGUGCCGUUUCGGGGUUGUACUGUUCAUAUAUAUAUAUAUAUAUAUAUAUAUAUAUAUAUAUUCCACAAACAUAAUUCAAAUUCAAGAUAAAUUAAUUAUAAAUUAUACAAUACAAACAUAAUGCCAAACAAAUAUAAUUUUAAAAUUUAAAAUAUUUUUAAAUAGUAAAGAUUAAAUAGAUCUUUAACUUAAAAUAAUAUAAACCAUAUAUUAAUUUUUUAAAAAUAAUAUUUUUUGGCCGAAACGGAACAACCGGAACGAAACCGGAACGUUUCGGCCGGAAUUUGGCCGGAAUUUCCGGAACGGGCCGAGAUUUAAAAUGAGAUGGAAUUUGUUCCGUUUUGUUUCGUUUUUUGAAUUGGUAUGGAAUGUUUCGGCCAUUCCGGGCGGAACGGAACGAAAUUGACAACCUUGGUGCUAAUAGAUUCAAUUUAUGCUCUUAUUAGAACUUCCUUUGAUUUCUUUACCAAGAAGGAGGAUGGGUUGGGUUUCAACUUUCAAAAUAAGUUGAGUUUGAGUUGAUUUAAUCAAUUAAAACUCGGUUUAUAUUAUUUUUUCCCAAAACAUAAUGGUUUUCAUUUUUUUUUUAAGAAACUAGUAUUUAAAGAAUUUUACAUAUGUUAGUUGUUCUUAAUUUCUUUAUUGUUUUUGUUUUAGUUCUGUCUACUAAUUAAUAUUGACCUGCUAAUAUAAAAGGAGGGUUUUAUAGUUAACAUUAUAUCAUUGACCCGCGUCAUGUUGCGGGUCAAAUCAAUUUUUUAAACAUAAAAAAUAUUUAAGUGUUGAUAAUAUGUUUUCUAGUAGAAAACAAAUAUUCAAAUCAUGUGGGAAUUAAUUUGAUAUAAUUCUGUCAACUUGACGGGUCCAAAGAUAAUUUGGACAACCGUUAAAAACACAGUUUAAUUAAAAAAAUUUCAAGAUGAUAUAUAUUUUUUUAUAAAAUAUUGAAACAAAAACAUAUUGAAUUAUGAUACCAGAAUAACCUCAAAGAAAACGAAUCAAAAUAAAUUAUGAAAUUCAAUUCUCAUUCAACACAAUAUUGAAAUUGAAAAAAAAAAACAAUUAAAAAAAAUAAAUAACUUGGGUCAACUUGGCCUAACCUGCUAAACUCGCAACUUGAGUCAUAUAAACAGGAUUACUUCAUAGAAAGUAAAUAAAAAUAAAUUUUAAAGCUCAAUUCUUAAUCAAUCUAAUGUUAAAGAAUAAAAUUAAAAAAAAAAUCAAUUAAACAAAAGAUACAAAAAAAUAACUCGAGUUAACCCAGGUUAACUCGCCAAAGCCAUGAUCUAGGUAAUGAAAUUACAAUAAUUUAAUAAAAAGCAAGCUAAAAAAAAUUAUAAAAUCUAAUUUUAAAUUAAUUAAAUAUUAAAAAAUAAAACUAGCUAUUUGAAUUAUAAAACUAUAAUAACCAAACCCAUUAAAAAAUGAAAUUGAAAUUUUAUUUUAAAAAAAUAAAGUAAGAGUAGAAACCAUGGAAAUAUGUAAGGUUCUAUCAAAUUGACUUCAAAUUGCGCACACUAAAUUGUUGUUACUUGGCAAAGUAAUAAUUACGCUUAGCAAUCGGGGCCAUAGUUUUAAGACCCGGCCCGGUGGUCGGCCCGGUCCAAGGCUCGAGUUCCGGGUUUUGACCAGGUCAUCGGGUCUUGACCGGGUCGCCAGGUCAGCCGGGUCAAAAUAUAUUUUUUUUAAAAAAAUCAAAACGACGUUGUUUUAGCAAAAUAAAUAAAAGUCAACGGGUUUGCGGCCGGGUCUUGCCGGGUCAACCGGGUCCCGGUCGACCGGGUCUGGCCGGGCCAAUUCCCAAGCGGGUUUUGGCCUCCAACCAGACCGGUCCCAUGCCCGGGUCAGCUGGGUCCCGGGUUGACCCGCCGGGCCGGUCCGGGUUUUAAAACUAUGAUCGGGGCACUAAUGAGCGCCCGCCUGGUAAUGUAUAGCAGUUUAAUUAUUUUAUAAAGAUUUUUUUUAAUUGAAAAUAUAUUAAUAUGAUAUUUUUUAAAUUUUAUUUUUAAUUUUUAAUAUUAAUUCAUUAAAAUUAUAAAAUAUAUAUAAAAAAUCAAUAUUGAUAUUCUAAAUGGAUUAAAUAGUGUUUUAGAGGUUGCUAAUAUUUCUUAAAUUAAUGAAUCCUUUUAGUAGUAAAAUAACUAAAUAGUUGACAAAUCUUGAUUAGUAGUAUUUUGUUUUUUUUUAAAUACUUUUCUUGGUUAUCGUUCCUUCAAUUGGUAUACUUUGAUUUUUCCCUUUUCUAUUCUAAAUAAUAAAUAAUUUAAACUAUGAGAUUAUGUAUACAUAAUUGAAAAACAAAAUGAUAAACAAAGUCAUCUUCACCUUCUUAUGUACAAUCCGCAGCUGUACAACAAGAUUAAGUAACCAAUAAAUUCAUUCAGCAAAUAUUUCCACACGAGGAGAAGUCCCUUAAUUCACUAACACAAGUGCUAAUUAUAAUAAAUAAGGUAGUUAAUUGUGAAGUAUUUAUAGUAAGAUAAAAAAAAAUUAAAAAUCGUGACAGCUUAAUUUGAAUGUUCAGAGAUGUUUUUCCAAAUUGUAUUUAGCAAUAAGAUUUAUGCGAAGAUUGCUAUGCUCACUAAAAUAUAAUUUCCAAGAAAUUCAAGCCACAAAAUCGGAAAAAAACUUCUUAAUAAUUUACUAUCAUAGUUUACUCACAGCUUAAGCAAGGGGGCAUGCAGAGUUAAAGAGUCAUCCUCACCUUCUUAUGUCCACUUCAAUCCAGUCUCCAGUCAACACGUUCUGGCAAUAGCUUUAAUGAACAGUUGUUAGAAAAGUACAGACAAACAAUGGAGAAUUAAUGGAGUUUGAAGGUUCUUGCACUCAAUUAGAUGCUGUGGGAUUGGUCGUCCUAAAAGUCUUCGAUCGAAACUUGGAUGUAUAGAUGGUGUCGACUCUUCAUGUGGUGCUGAAUGUGAAACUGAGGGUUGAAUUAUUCAAUUGCGAAUAUUUCCUCGCAAGGAGAACUCCCUUAAUUAGUUGAUAACUAAACAAGAGAAAGCAAUAGGCAAUGGUCCAGAAGAAUAUUCAUGUGGUGCUGAAUAUGGAACUGAGGGUUGAAUUGCGAAUAUUUCCUUUAACAUUUUUUAUUGAGAUCAAGUCUAUUUAAGUGAUGUGCAGCAAGUAUAUCUGCUAAUUAGAACUUUUUUUUGGUAGCUCGUCCGGCAUUAACAAUACGUUAUUUAUAUUAAUACAUUAAAAUGAUGUAAAAACAUGAGAAUAUUGGUUUCUUGUAAAAAAUGAAUAAAAAAAUAACAUAAAAAUACUAUUUUGAUAUAUUUCCAAACAAAAAAACAUUUUAAAAAGUAACAUUCACCAUACUAGCAUGCUCUAAUAAUAGAAACACGACAAUAAUGAUUUCCUAAAUGGAUUAAAUAGUGUUUCAGGGGUUGCUAAUUUUUCUUAAAUUAAAUAAUCCUUCUAGUAUUAAAAGUAAUUAAAUAGAUUUUUGACAAAUUUUGAUCAUUCUUAUUUCAGUAAUUGUUUUUUAAAAAAUACUUUUCUUGCUUAUCAAUCUUUCAAUUUAUAUACUUUGAUUUUUCCUUUGUCCUUUUUCUAUUUUAAAUAAAAAAUAAUUUAACUAUUAGAUUAUGUAAACAAAUAAUUAAAAAAUAUGUAUGUAGUAAAAAAUGAAAAUUGUAAACCCUUUACCUAGAUGGUUCAAUGAGUAUUUAUAGCCCCUGAAACUUGUUAUUUUGUUGGAGUUAAGAGCCUGAAGAGUUAUUUUCUUCUUAUAGCAAUAAUAAAAGAUAAAUAUAUCUUAUAUAACAUUAUGCGAAAAACAAAUUACACAAUAUUAAUAAGAAAUAAAUAUCCAUUAUAAAAUAUUAAUGAUGAUGGAAAUAUAAUAGGUUUUUAAAAGACUUUUAUACUCCUAAAGAUACAGAAAGAUGUUACUUGAAACUGAUAAAUUAAUCCCAAUUAUUGAACAAGAUGAUCAUGAUGUUGUCAUCAAAAAGUUGAUUUUUCAAAUAUAAAUUAUCAAUGAUUUGAAAUUUAUCAAAUAUAAGAUUGUGCCAAAUAUAUAUGAAGAUUUUUAUACACUUAGGGACAAUAUCACUUGCACAAUACUAUAUUCUUUUAUAUUAAAAAUCAAAAGAAUAAACAAAGAAAGCCUUAGAGCAUAUCACGAGGCCUGUAAUUCUAAUUAAAACUAUUUUUUUAGCUUGUCUAGCGGUAACUAUAAAAGCAUUAAAUUGAUGUUUUUUAUAUGAUUUUUAAUGCUUAUAAUAUGUUGAUGUGAUUUUUUUUAAAAAAAUAUUUUUAAUUGAAAAAUAUUUUUUAGGAUUUAAUAAUUAAAAAAAUAAAGGAAGAUAAAAACCAUGGGAAUAUGUAAGGUUCCUAUCAUAUUGACUUCAAAUAGCGCAAAUUAAAUUGUUGUUUAUUGGCAAAGAAAUAAUUACGCAAAGCAAUGGGGGCACUAAUGACUUUGCACUUAUGUAUCGUACUCUUUGCGUGCGCUCGUUAAUGCAUAGCAGUUUAAUUAUUUUUCAAAGGCAUCUAGACAAACCAAUCCUAGGAAUGGGUGCACGAGGAAAUCAAAGUCAUUAUUGUGUGUUUGAUCUUUCUCACUGCGAGGAGAAAUAUUGUCUUUUAGAAUUGUUUUUUUAUAAAAUUUAAAUAUAUUUUAUUUAUUUUAAAUUUAUUUUUAAUGUUUUUAUAUUAUUUUAAUAUGCUGAUGUCAAAAAUAAUUUUUAAAUAAUAAUAAUAAAAUAUUGUUUUGAUAUAUUUUAAAAUAAAAAAUAUUUUAAAAAAUAACCGUUACACUACUUUCAAAUAUCGCACGAAUGUUUGGGAGAGUGAAGCAUCCUUAGCUGGGACAUAAGACUAUCAAAUAAGUCCUUUAGUUGAAUAAUUAUCUCUUUAAAAAUAUAAUAAAAGUUGUUUUUAAAAUAUUUUUUGUUCAGAAAUAUAUUAAAUAAUGUAUUUUUUUAAAAAAUUAUUUUUAAUAUCAACACAUCAAAAUAAUCUAAAAAAUAAAAAAAAUUAAAACUAAAAAUAAUUUCAAUAAUUUUCAAAACACAGAUAAUUUUGCCUAGAAUUGUUUGAGUGUAGAACCGCUCAAAAUUAUUUUACAAGUUAGACUUGAAGGAAUUUCAGAGCAGCGUACCUGAAAUUAAAGAAAAUAUUUAGUGAAAGUUUAGGAAUAACAUUACUGAACCAUUACCGGACGAAGAUGUGAGGUUGUUGGUCGUUAACGCUCCUUUCUUCAAUUCUGCCUCUGUCUUUUUUUGGUUUCUCUCUAGUCGUUCUCCUCUCUGGUUCCUCUGUGUUUUUGAGUUCUCUGUUUUGUUCUUCUCGGUGCUUGUUCCUCCUGGUAUCCUCGGUGCAGCCCUCUGUGUUGUACGUCCUGUUCUCUCUUUUCUGUUCUUCUCUUUGCUUGUUCCUCCUCUCUCUGGUUUUUAGUUCUUCUCUCCUUUUUUCCUUUUUUUUUUAAAUUUUCCAGUUCCUUUCCUUCUUUUGUUUUUUUUUUUUCACUUCCUCCCGUUCUCCGUGUUUUCCUUCUCUUUUUUCCCCUUUCAAGGCCAAAGAAUGCCAUGCAGUUGUAACAAUUGGUUUGGUAACGACAUGCACAGGGAUAGCAGCCGUGAAACGUGCCCCAUAAUUGAAGCAAGUUAGUGCUUUUGUUGCUGAAACGUCUCCAUUGCCUUUACUGCCGAAACAGUUGUCGAGGAAGAAGGCAAUGAACAGUUGUCCAGGAAACGGCUCCGUUUAUCAAUUCAAAUGGCUAUUUUUGAUUUCGUCCUUGAGGUUUCGCAAUUUUAUAAUCAAGCCCCUGGAUAAUUUGUAAUUGGACCCCUGAAUCUUAGCACCAUUUAUAGCACAAUCCUUGUUCUUUCUGAACUAUUUAAUUCAUUCCUCAAUUGCUCUAAACUUGGAUAUCUUCUUCUCAUUGCUAUUAUUUUUUGGUUUUUUAUGAAUUUUUUUUUAAUGUGAGGAUUAAAAAUAAGUAACAACACAUAGUUCCUAGAGGCCUAAAAGCCUUAAACUCAGCAACAAAACCUGCAAAAUCACCAGGAAGAUUGGAGGACUAAGAGAAGUGCUACUGCAGAGUAAGGUCCCUUUUUCCCUACCAUUGUCUCUCAGACUCCAUGUGCUUGAACAGAGAGAGAAUUGAGAACCGAAAUAUUUGUUAUUUCUAGGUCAGGAGUGUAAUGUGAAGGAAGCUUUCUGAUAAGGUGGAUAAGAUUCUUCAAAUCAAGGUUUACAAUACCGUUCUGAAAUUCAUUCCAAAUCUUAGUUUGAUACUAAAAUUUUCUAUACCAGUUCAUUUUGGCGUGUCUCAAAACUAGUAUUAUCACUUAUAAAAUAUUUUUUAUACAUUUAAAGAAAUUUAAUUAUAUUUGUUCUUAAUUUCUUUAUUGUUUUUGUUCUAUUUCUCUCUACUAAUUAAUAUUCAUUUGGUAAUAUAAAGCAUGAUUUUAUAGUUUAACAUAAACUACAACAUACAUUAACUAUUACAUUCUUUGACUUUUUUUCAUAGAAGUAAAAAAAAAAAAAAAUGAACAACAGAAAUCCAGUACUAUGAAUCUGCCACUUUAUUGUUGUUCCAAUAUCAACUCUACUUGGUAUCUCGUGAGGUAAAACCUUCAUUGAAAUUGUGCUGCAAAAAAAAAAAAACAUAUAACUAUAGUCAUGAAUACUUAUAGUUCUAUACUCAUAGAAUUAGAAAUGUUAGACUUAUCAAAUGAAAUAGCAAAGAAAAGAUAGUCUAACACAAACUUUGCUAAUAAAAACUGAAAAUAUCAAAAGCUUGCAAACUUACUUGAAUUUACAAAUGCAUUUUUUAAUUUCUUCUUGCACCAUACAUGCGAGCAUUCUUCUUUGUUCUUCCUGCCUUCAGAUUCCAUUGACGUUCAACCAUCCUAUGAAACCAUGCAGGUCGUCUUGUUCUAAACACAAUAUAACCCAUUGUGACUCCAAAUACAAACCCACAUCCAUACCCCAUUGCCACAGCUUUCCAUCCAAACCCAUCUCCAAACAGUGUUGAAUCAUCUCCUUCAUUAAAGUUUGAUGGCGGUAAUGGUGGUACCACGCCAUUGUUGCAUUCUGUUGGCACUUGGAAUCCACAUAAACCCAAGUUUCCUUGAAAUGAGCUUUGAUCAAACGUGCCGAACAUCCCCCAGGUAUGGGCCCCUCGAGUUUGUUAUGUGAAAGGUUUAAGAUUUCAAGAAAUGGUAUAUCUGUCAACUGCACAGGAAUCCUUCCCGUAAGCAUAUUUGAAGACAUAUCUAAUGACUCUAGUUGGGUUAAAAACCCUAAUGAUGAUAGGAUAUGGCCUGUAAAUAAAUUGUGAGAGAGGUUAAGUUGUACAAGUCCUUCAAGCUUUCCAAUUAGUUCUGGAAUCUCACCGGUGAAACUGUUACUUGAUAAAUCAAGUACUCUGAGGAUAUCUUGGAUUUUCACAAACUCAAUUUCCAACCCUUUCCAUGUCAUUUUUAUUGAAUAGGUGUACCUAGAGUAAUUUCUUGCCUUCAUGUAAAUCAUAUCUUGAUCGACACAUCAUUCCUUCAAGACUAUUGAAAACUCUUCUGGCAAUGGUCCUCUCAAAUUAUUUUCAGAGACGUCAAGAAUAUGUAAUUUGGAGAAGGAAUUAAAAGUAGUCGGACCCUUCAUAAAACCUUGGAGUUUAUUGGAUUUUAGAACAAGAAUCUUUAGCUCCGGAAGCAUUUCUAGGAAAUAGGGGAAUGUAUCCUCAAUCUUAUUGUUACCAAGAUUAAGAAACUCCAGCAUUGUGCAGUUGACGAUAGACAAUGGUAUUUUCCCUUCUAAUUCAUUGCCAUUGAGGUUGAGAUAUUGCAAGUUACUUCCCUUUGAAAAUGUUGAUGGAAUAGUGCCCCGGAGAUUGUUCAUGCCUAGAUGCAAAACUGAGAGUUCGUUGCUGAAGUUUCCCAAACAUUGUGGUGCAGAACCACUCAAGUUAUUGUUGGAAAGGUCCAGGACUAGAAGGAAUUUUAACUUGCAAAUUGAAGAAGGAACCUCCCAUGUCAAUUUAUUGUUGGAUGCAAGAAUAAGAACUGUCAAGUUCUCUUGUUUGAAAAUUGAACUUGGGAUUGGACCAUGCAGGGAGUUAUUGCUCAAAUCAAGGAAUUCUAAUGAAUUGUGUUGGAAUUCACCUAUAUUGCCCAUGAAUUGAUUAUUAUGAAGGUCCAAACGGCAUAAAGAAGGGAGAGCAAAUAAAAAGGAUGGUAUCGUCCCAUUGAGUGAGUUACCAUAUAAAAAUAAAUAUUCUAGAUCUAGAAUGGUACUUAGUUGAAAAUGUAUUGGGCCUUGGAGUUGAUUGUUUGAUAAAUCUAAAUAUGUGAGUAGGGUUAGGUUAGCAAAAGAAUCUGGAAUCUGACCCAUCAAGUUAUUGGAAUUGAGUUGCAAGGAAUUCAUCUGCACAAGGUUUCCAAAUGAAGAUGGGAUCUGCCCACUAAAUUUAUUGAAUCUGAGAUCCAAGGACUCAAGGUACACAAUGUUUUCAAAUGAAGAUGGGAUCUGCCCAUUAAAAUUAUUGGAAUGGAGAUCCAAGGACUCAAGGUGCACAAGGUUUCCAAAUGAAGAUGGGAUCUGCCCACUAAAAUUAUUGGAACGGAGAUCCAAGGACUCAAGGUGCACAAGGUUUCCAAAUGAAGAUGGGAUCUGCCCACUAAAAUUAUUGGAACGGAGAUCCAAGGACUCAAGGUGCACAAGGUUUCCAAAUGAAGAUAGGAUGUGCCCACUAAAAUUAUUGGAAAAGAGAUCCAAGAACUCAAGGUGCACAAGGUUUCCAAAUGAAGAUGGGAUCUGACCACUAAAAUUAUUGGAACAGAGAUGCAAGGACUCAAGGUGCACAAGGUUUCCAAAUGAAGAUGGGAUCUGCCCGCUAAAAUUAUUGAAACCGAGAUCCAAGGACUCAAGGUGCACAAGGUUUCCAAAUGAAGAUGUGAUCUGCCCGCUAAAAUUAUUGAAACCGAGAUCCAAGGACUCAAGGUGCACAAGGUUUCCAAAUGAAGAUGGGAUCUGCCCAUUAAAAUUGUUAUUUGAGAGGUCUAAUUGAAAAAGUCGAGUAAAAUUACCAAAUAGAGCUAGUUUUGACCCAACAAUGUUACAAUUACGAAGCAUCAUAUACUGUAACGACUUUAAAUUACUGAUGAAGUCAUUUUCUAGAUAAAGUGAAAUUCUUGUAUCAGAAAGGUCCAACCACCAGAGGACAUUACUCACAUUGGAGGAAGGAAAAGAGCCAGUGACGCCUUCGUUGUCUGACAAAGAGAGUGAUUCAAGGUUUGGGAGGAGAAAGAUAUUACCUGGGAUUUGCCCUUGCAAUCCGCAGUCUGAAAGGGAAAGAUAUGACAAAGUAGAGGACAGAUUGGUCAAGGAAUUAGGUGCAACCAAAGACAUAUUUACAGAACACAAAUCGAGAUCUCUUAGCUUGGUUAGGUUUCGAACAAGCUUGUCAAAAGAAACUGGUUCUACACUUAGAUGGUAGUUUCCAGAGAGAUCAAGAGAAAUCAAUUUGGAGAGAUGGGAGACUUCUAAUGGAACUUGGCCUGCGAAAUUGGAAGACAUUAGAUUAAGAUGUGUCAGAUUGGAAAACUGCCCAAAUCGAGAAGAAAUAUGGGAGGAGUUGAAAUCAUUGAUAGAGAGAUCGAGCUUCUGAAGAUGAUGAAGAGAGAAGAGAGAAUUAUUGGAAUGGAGGGUGCCAUAAAGCAUGCUGCAAGAGAGGUUCAGUCCAGUGACUUGCCCGGUUUUCAUAUCACAAGUGACCCCAUCCCACAAGCAGCAAUCUGUACCGUCUUUCCAUGACUCUGUUUUUGGAAAGGGAUAUUGACAAUAGUAGCGCUCCCAAUAAGCAGAACUAUUAAUGGGAAAGGAUUGUUUGAAUUGAAGGAGAGAAAGACUUUGGUGAUGAGCACACAAAUGAUUAGAAGAGGAGUGAUUUGAGGAGAAUGAUGAUGAAAUUGUUGUAUGAAAAUGGAAGAGAAACAAAAUGGAACAGAGAAAUUGAAUGGGGGAUAAUGAAAACUUCAUGUUGGCUCUUCAGGAUUCAAAGUAUAUUUGGAAUGCUGAAC
This 13193-nucleotide long non-coding RNA is filed under the name Populus tremula. RNAcentral describes it as "long non-coding RNA (PTRE_LNC003277)". The record is from RNAcentral. Lineage: Eukaryota; Viridiplantae; Streptophyta; Magnoliopsida; Malpighiales; Salicaceae.